UACGUAGGGUGCGAGCGUUAAUCGGAAUUACUGGGCGUAAAGCGUGCGCAGGCGGUUCGCAAAGUCUGAUGUGAAAGCCCCGGGCUUAACCUGGGAACUGCAUUGGUGACUGGCAGGCUUUGAGUGUGGCAGAGGGAGGUAGAAUUCCACGUGUAGCAGUGAAAUGCGUAGAGAUGUGGAGGAAUACCGAUGGCGAAGGCAGCCUCCUGGGCCAACACUGACGCUCAUGCACGAAAGCGUGGGGAGCAAACAGG
RNAcentral lists this ribosomal RNA (254 nucleotides) under uncultured bacterium. RNAcentral describes it as "partial 16S ribosomal RNA". It matches the Rfam family "Bacterial small subunit ribosomal RNA", at positions 524 to 776 of the family's 1533-position model. The record is from RNAcentral.